AUGGGGUUGGGGCAAAAAUUGUGACAUCAGGGUCAAAAAAUAGAAAUGUAAUAAAUGAAAUGUUUUAUUUCUUAUAUGUUUCAUGGGACAAUCCUUCAACUAAAUCCACUUACAGGCAUUUCAUACCACCCUGCAUAUUGGAGUAAACUGAGAAAUAAGAUUUGACAAAAUACCACCGUUACAUGGACAUCAUUUAUCAUCCUUACUAAGACUAUGCUCUCCCACUGUCAAAAUAAAGGGGUUGAUCUCCAUUACUCUUGAUAAAUAUUUUGCUAACAACAUUGUUAGUCACUUUAUUCCACACUUUCCAACAUGGCAUAUAUAUUUUGAAAGAUUUAGCAUCAAUAAAUGGAACUUGAUGCUCUGUGUGUAUACCAGUGCCAUGUUCUGUGUCGUUCUUUUUUCUCACCAGUCUAGAAAAUUGAAUUUAUGAUGGCAUGUAGAACUAAAUAGUUGAGAGAAGUCAUGCCUCAACAGAAUGGAAUAUUCUCUUUGGAAAAACUAAACUACUUUUUCUGGCCUAACCUUCUAUUUUUGGUGUUACCACCGUUACAUGGACAUCAUGUCUCAGUAACAGAGGUAUACUUAGAAGCAAUGUUAAGUUAAUGUCCAUUAAUGGCCAUUACACACCAAAUUCCACUUCAUGCCUUAGAAUAUUUGCACAAGAUCAAUUGAUUACACUAAAGAAAAACAUUUUGAGUGUCAAAUUCUUUGCUAAUAAACGCAAAUUAAGUUAGAGUUUAAACAAGGAAAAAUGUACAAAAUUAUUGACAAAUUAUAUUUAAAAUCAUACUACGAUAAUCCUCAAGUUUCCACUUCCGUCUACCUCUGGAAACAUUUAUGUUUCUGCCUAAAGGAAAAAAUAUGAAACAGUGCUAUCUUAUGAUCUCCAAUUCUUUUUACUUUAAAAUAACUCCUUCAAGAUAUUACUUUCAAAUGUACGUACCACCGUUACAUGGACAUCAUGUCUCAGUAACAGAGGUAUACUUUGAAGCAUUGCUAAGUUAAGGUCCAUUAAUGGCCAUUAAACACCAAAUUCCACUUCAUGCCUUAGAAUAUUUGCACAAGAUCAAUUGAUUAUACUAAAAAACAUUUUUCAUGUCAAAUUCUUUGCAAAUAAAAGCAAUUUAAAUAAGAGUUUAAACAAAGGAAAAAUGUACAAAAAUUAUUGAUAAAUUUAUAUUUAAAAUAAUACUAAGGUAAUCCUCAAGGUUCCACUUCCGUCUAUCUCUGGAAACAAAUGUUUCUGUCUAAAGGGGAAAAAACAAGAGUGCUAGCUUAUGAUCUCCAAAUCUUUAUUACUUUAAAAUAUCUCCUUCACAAUAUUACUUUCAAAUGUACAUACCUCCGUUACAUGGACAUCAUGUCCUUGUAAUGAUCAUAUUGAAUAGUAUAACAUGUACUUGCCAUUCUUUUAGUAUCAACACACUAAAUGCGAGUUAACUCAUCUUACUCAAGUGUAGAAAUACAACAUCUACAGGCAAGCUUCUAAAAUGCAUCAAUGAACAGGUUACAAGUUUAUGAACUUCAAGAAGAUCGGUGACCCAAUGGAUAGAGGUAGAAUUGUGCCUCGCCAUCAGGCCAGGAGUACAGGUCACCAGAUUGACACUUCAUGUACUGAAGAUAUACAUUUUAACCUUCAACAGAG
This 1648-nucleotide long non-coding RNA is filed under the name Lytechinus variegatus (green sea urchin). RNAcentral's name for it is "uncharacterized LOC121413713". The record is from RNAcentral. Lineage: Eukaryota; Metazoa; Echinodermata; Echinoidea; Temnopleuroida; Toxopneustidae.